UACGGGAGGCAGCAGUAGGGAAUCUUCCGCAAUGGACGAAAGUCUGACGGAGCAACGCCGCGUGAACGAUGAAGGCUUUCGGGUCGUAAAGUUCUGUUGUUAGGGAAGAACAAGUACCAGAGUAACUGCUGGUACCUUGACGGUACCUAACCAGAAAGCCACGGCUAACUACGUGCCAGCAGCCGCGGUAAUACGUAGGUGGCAAGCGUUGUCCGGGAUUAUUGGGCGUAAAGCGCGCGCAGGUGGUUCUUUAAGUCUGAUGUGAAAGCCCACGGCUCAACCGUGGAGGGUCAUUGGAAACUGGGGAACUUGAGUGCAGAAGAGGAAAGUGGAAUUCCACGUGUAGCGGUGAAAUGCGUAGAGAUGUGGAGGAACACCAGUGGCGAAAGGCGACUUUUCUGGUCUGUAACUGACACUGAGGCGCGAAAGCGUGGGGAGCGAACAGGAUUAGAUACC
RNAcentral lists this ribosomal RNA (456 nucleotides) under uncultured bacterium. Its description in RNAcentral is "bacterial SSU rRNA". It matches the Rfam family "Bacterial small subunit ribosomal RNA", at positions 340 to 786 of the family's 1533-position model. The record is from RNAcentral.